Molecule: ribosomal RNA, 588 nt
Filed under: Clostridium botulinum
Lineage: Bacteria; Bacillati; Bacillota; Clostridia; Eubacteriales; Clostridiaceae
Description: bacterial SSU rRNA
Rfam family: Bacterial small subunit ribosomal RNA
Source: RNAcentral
GAGUAACACGUGGGCAACCUGCCUCAUAGAGAGGGAUAGCCUUUCGAAAGGAAGAUUAAUACCUCAUAAGAUUGUAGUUUCGCAUGAAACGGCAAUAAAAGGAGCAAUCCGCUAUGAGAUGGGCCCGCGUCGCAUUAGCUAGUUGGUAAGGUAAUGGCUUACCAAGGCGACGAUGCGUAGCCGACCUGAGAGGGUGAUCGGCCACAUUGGGACUGAGACACGGCCCAGACUCCUACGGGAGGCAGCAGUGGGGAAUAUUGCACAAUGGGGGAAACCCUGAUGCAGCAACGCCGCGUGAGUGAUGAAGGUCUUCGGAUUGUAAAACUCUGUCUUUGGGGACGAUAAUGACGGUACCCAAGGAGGAAGCCACGGCUAACUACGUGCCAGCAGCCGCGGUAAUACGUAGGUGGCAAGCGUUGUCCGGAUUUACUGGGCGUAAAGGGAGCGUAGGUGGAUAUUUAAGUGGGAUGUGAAAUACUCGGGCUUAACCUGAGUGCUGCAUUCCAAACUGGAUAUCUAGAGUGCAGGAGAGGAAAGUGGAAUUCCUAGUGUAGCGGUGAAAUGCGUAGAUAUUAGGAAGAACACCAG